UCACAUCAGGUUGAAACAUCGGUUUUCGUAAGAUCACCAAAGUUAAGCAAUGUCGAGCCUGAUCAAUACCUAGAUGAGUGACCGCUUGGGAAUACGA
This is a non-coding RNA of Acanthosepion pharaonis, 97 nucleotides long. The record is from the annotation of a GenBank genome assembly. Lineage: Eukaryota; Metazoa; Mollusca; Cephalopoda; Sepiida; Sepiidae.